This 200-nucleotide long non-coding RNA is filed under the name Elaeis guineensis (African oil palm). RNAcentral describes it as "long non-coding RNA (EGUI_LNC063427)". The record is from RNAcentral. Lineage: Eukaryota; Viridiplantae; Streptophyta; Magnoliopsida; Arecales; Arecaceae.
CCUGUUUUUUUCGAUCGGAGCCGUAGACACCGUUUUGAUUCUCGCCGUGAUUGCCCGCCGGUGGGGUCACCGGAGAUCGAGGUGAGUCUUCCUCUUCUUCCUCUCUUCCUUUCCUUCCUCCCGUGCAUUUGUGCGCGGCUGCCGGCGACGGGAGUCGCCGAUUUUUGGUCGGAAAAGAGACCUCUGUUUCAGUCUCUUUU